GUUAGGGUUUCUUUCCUCACCCCUUAUUUACCCAUUCAUUCAACAGAUUUGAUUGAAAAUUCAUUAUCUGGGUUGUCUUGAAAUCCCAAGAAAUCAGUAAAGAUCCAAACUUUGAGCUCAAAAAAAGUGUCCCAGGACAAUUAUAAACCUGAUAAGGCCGGAUUAUUUAGACAUCAAAAUGGGAUGUUUCACGGUUUCAAAGAGUAAGAAGAAAAAAUCCGUGCAUAGCAUCCACAUCAAACGUGUGAACCCUCAGGAGCAGUCACCUACUGCACUGCCUGAACCCCAGAGACAAACAAGAUCAUUGCAGUCAGCUCCACCAAGUUUUAGAACAAGAGUGAAACCUGUGCAGUCAAACAAUGGAGUAACAACGAGUAGGGCACGAACUCUAUCCGCCCCAUCAAGUCUAGACACAGCAGAUCAAGAUGCUCUAGCAUCGAAUGAAUGUGAGGAACAUGAAGAGCUGAGUAGUCGUGCUGGAUCAAUAAAGGAGUACAGGUCAUCAGUUCCUCAGCCUCUACCACUUCCAUCACCUCAGAAUGCCGCUGCUCUCAGGACUAUGAAAAGCUUCAAAGUGGGGAAUACAAGUAGCCCUCUCAAUGCCUCUGGACCAUUGCCACUGCCUCCUGUGCUGCCUCCUACAUUGCCUUCUACUGGAACGCUUCGGAACUUUGCUUUUGAUGAAAUUUCUGCUGCAUGCCACCAUUUCUCUCCAGAACGUUGUGUGUCAGAAGGUCUCUCUUCUGUUAUCUACAGAGCUUCUUUUGGGGAUGAUGCCUCUGGUACAAAGAAGCUUGAAGCCACUAUAACUCGCCUUCACCCUUCUUCACAGGGUCUGAAGGAAUUUGUCAACGAGGUGAACACCCUGGCUUCUUUGCAACAUUCUUCACUUUGUAAACUGAUUGGUUUUCAUGCACGCGAAGGUUCUGAGCACAGGAUGUUGGUUUUUGAGAGGCUUUUUCAUGGAAGCUUAGACAGACUUUUGUUCGGAAGAUCAGAUGGCCCCUCUAUAGAUUGGAAUGCGAGAACCAAAAUUGCCCUAUGUGCUGCACAAGGUCUUACAUUUCUACAUGAGGAGGGACCUUUUCAGGCAAUGUUCCAAGAAUUUUCAACUGGAAAUAUACAAAUCGACAAGGAUUUUAGUGCAAAGCUCUCGGGGUAUGGAUGCAUUACGAAUAUACAAGAGACGGAGAUAUCUUGCAAUUCAAUCGCCCUGGCGAAUCUCUCACAGGAGACACUGGAGAGAGGGUUGAUAACUCCUAAGAGCAAUGUUUGGAGUUUCGGGAUUGUUCUUUUAGAACUGCUCACUGGCCGGAAGAAUCUUGAUGGUCGGUAUUCAAAGGAAGAGAGGAAUCUAGUCAAGUGGAGUAGGCCUUUCCUUGCUGAUGAUGGUAGAUUAUCGCUUAUCAUGGAUCCUCAGCUUAAAGGACGGUUUCCCGCAAAAGCAGCCCGUACAGUGGCUGAUAUUGCCCAAAGAUGCCUGCAAAAGGAUCCAUCUGAAAGGCCCACCAUGAGAACUAUCUUGGACCAACUCAAAUCCGUACAAGUGAUGAAGUGCCCUUCACGGUUUCCUCUGCAAGAACCAGCGGUUGUUGGUGGUAAACACAUGUCAAAGUCUCCAAGCAUGAAUGGCAUCAUCACUCCUGUGCCAAGGUUGAGUUUCUCCCCUUCCUUACCACUCACCCGAACAUCGGCUUCUCCCUCAAAGGUUGCUACUCAACCCUUGGCUCGUCCUUCAUUAACAUGUUCCUACUCUUUCUCUUUGGAGGACCUUGAUAGACUGGAAAGCCGAAGGUCAUCAACUUCAUCUUUUCGCAGGUCCAGUGUUGAAGGAUUUUGAUUGUUUAUUCUUUAAUAGGUUACUUCUAGCCCUCUCUUGUGACAAGUGAUUACAUGAAAAGAUAUGAAGGAUAAAGAUGUGGUUUUCUACCUUCCCAUUCCUCAAGGAAGAAGAUGUGGGAAAUAACAUUUUGUAGAUAAGGUUUGUCCUUUGGUUUGAUUAGUGUUCUGUGAAUCAAGAUGUGUGGGGAGAUGUAGAUUUUCUUUAAUAUGUUAUUCGUCAACCUCCAGCCCCUUCCGAGAUGAAAAAAACAAUCCCCAGAUUGCUGGAAAGCAAUAAAAAGAGAAAGGGAAGGGAAGAUAAAGAAGAAAGAAAAUUCUAUUGUGUAAUGAUGUAUAUGUGUACAAGUAUUCUUUUUUUAGUUUAUUAAGAAAUGUUGUAUUUUGGGAACUUGGCUUGGUGAGAAAUAUGGUUUCAGUAGUGAGGGUGAUGCAACCUUACUCUUUGAUAGAGAAGUAAAUUUCAGUAUUCCAUGUUACCUGGAAAGUUUUGUAAUCUAAUGGUGAAUGAAAUAUAAGGUUGGAAAAUGUCAGCUACAAAAUCUCACAUAUAUUUGC
RNAcentral lists this unclassified non-coding RNA (2397 nucleotides) under Hevea brasiliensis (rubber tree). The record is from RNAcentral. Lineage: Eukaryota; Viridiplantae; Streptophyta; Magnoliopsida; Malpighiales; Euphorbiaceae.